UACGUAGGGGGCAAGCGUUAUCCGGAUUUACUGGGUGUAAAGGGAGCGUAGACGGCCAGGCAAGUCUGAUGUGAAAGGCAGGGGCUCAACCCCUGGACUGCAUUGGAAACUGUCAGGCUGGAGUGCCGGAGAGGUAAGCGGAAUUCCUAGUGUAGCGGUGAAAUGCGUAGAUAUUAGGAGGAACACCAGUGGCGAAGGCGGCUCACUGGACGGUAAAUGACGCUGAGGUUCGAAAGCGUGGGUAGCAAACAGG
RNAcentral lists this ribosomal RNA (253 nucleotides) under uncultured bacterium. RNAcentral describes it as "partial 16S ribosomal RNA". It matches the Rfam family "Bacterial small subunit ribosomal RNA", at positions 524 to 776 of the family's 1533-position model. The record is from RNAcentral.